Non-coding RNA from Podarcis lilfordi (Lilford's wall lizard), 74 nucleotides. Lineage: Eukaryota; Metazoa; Chordata; Lepidosauria; Squamata; Lacertidae. The record is from the annotation of a GenBank genome assembly.
GUCUGGAUAGCUCGGUUGGUUAGAGCAUGGUGCUGAUAAUUCCAAGGUUGCAAGUUUGAUCCCUGUAUGAGACA